ACACGGCUCGCCUCGUGCCUUCCUGCCGAACAACGUACCCCGGCGCGGUCCGCGCCAAGGAACAUGAACGAAAGAGUGCCUCCGGUCGCCUCGGAAACGCUGCGCGCACCGGAGGCGAAUCUUGUCUAGAACCAUAACGACUCUCGGCAACGGAUAUCUCGGCUCUCGCAUCGAUGAAGAACGUAGCGAAAUGCGAUACUUGGUGUGAAUUGCAGAAUCCCGCGAAUCAUCGAGUCUUUGAACGCAAGUUGCGCCCGAAGCCACCUGGCCGAGGGCACGUCUGCCUGGGUGUCACGCAUCGUUGCCCCCACUCCCCUCGGCUCACGAGGGCGGGGGCGGAUACUGGUCUCCCGCGCGCUCCCGCCCGUGGUUGGCCUAAAAUCGAGUCCUCGGCGACGGUCGCCACGACAAGCGGUGGUUGAGAGACCCUCGGACACGGUCGUGCGCGUGCUUGUCGCCCCCGGGACCUCCCGGACCCCCGAGCAUUGGCUUUCAAGGAUGCUCUCGUUGCGACCCCAGGUCAGGCGGGACUACCCGCUGAG
RNAcentral lists this ribosomal RNA (542 nucleotides) under embryophyte environmental sample. Its description in RNAcentral is "eukaryotic LSU rRNA". The stretch from base 139 to 294 matches the Rfam family "5.8S ribosomal RNA". The record is from RNAcentral. Lineage: Eukaryota; Viridiplantae; Streptophyta.